CAAGCCUGACGAAGCAAGACCGCGUGGGGGAGGAAAGCCUUUGGGUUGUAAACCCCUUUUCUCAGGGAAGAAGAAAGUGACGGUACCUGAGGAAUCAGCCUCGGCUAACUCCGUGCCAGCAGCCGCGGUAAUACGGAGGAGGCAAGCGUUAUCCGGAAUGAUUGGGCGUAAAGCGUUCGUAGGUGGCAAUUCAAGUCUGCUGUCAAAGACAGUAGCUCAACUACUGCAAGGCAGUGGAAACUGAAUAGCUAGAGUGCGGUAGGGGCAGAGGGAAUUCCCGGUGUAGCGGUGAAAUGCGUAGAGAUCGGGAAGAACACCGGUGGCGAAAGCGCUCUGCUGGGCCGCAACUGACACUGAGGGACGAAAGCUAGGGGAGCGAAUGGGAUUAGAUACCCCAGUAGUC
This 403-nucleotide ribosomal RNA is filed under the name uncultured cyanobacterium. RNAcentral describes it as "bacterial SSU rRNA". It matches the Rfam family "Bacterial small subunit ribosomal RNA", at positions 378 to 795 of the family's 1533-position model. The record is from RNAcentral. Lineage: Bacteria; Bacillati; Cyanobacteriota.